CUACACAUGCAGUCGAGCGGUAGAGAGAAGCUUGCUUCUCUUGAGAGCGGCGGACGGGUGAGUAAUGCCUAGGAAUCUGCCUGGUAGUGGGGGAUAACGUUCGGAAACGGACGCUAAUACCGCAUACGUCCUACGGGAGAAAGCAGGGGACCUUCGGGCCUUGCGCUAUCAGAUGAGCCUAGGUCGGAUUAGCUAGUUGGUGGGGUAAUGGCUCACCAAGGCGACGAUCCGUAACUGGUCUGAGAGGAUGAUCAGUCACACUGGAACUGAGACACGGUCCAGACUCCUACGGGAGGCAGCAGUGGGGAAUAUUGGACAAUGGGCGAAAGCCUGAUCCAGCCAUGCCGCGUGUGUGAAGAAGGUCUUCGGAUUGUAAAGCACUUUAAGUUGGGAGGAAGGGCAGUUACUUAAUACGUGAUUGUUUUGACGUUACCGACAGAAUAAGCACCGGCUAACUCUGUGCCAGCAGCCGCGGUAAUACAGAGGGUGCAAGCGUUAAUCGGAAUUACUGGGCGUAAAGCGCGCGUAGGUGGUUUGUUAAGUUGGAUGUGAAAUCCCCGGGCUCAACCUGGGAACUGCAUUCAAAACUGACUGACUAGAGUAUGGUAGAGGGUGGUGGAAUUUCCUGUGUAGCGGUGAAAUGCGUAGAUAUAGGAAGGAACACCAGUGGCGAAGGCGACCACCUGGACUAAUACUGACACUGAGGUGCGAAAGCGUGGGGAGCAAACAGGAUUAGAUACCCUGGUAGUCCACGCCGUAAACGAUGUCAACUAGCCGUUGGAAGCCUUGAGCUUUUAGUGGCGCAGCUAACGCAUUAAGUUGACCGCCUGGGGAGUACGGCCGCAAGGUUAAAACUCAAAUGAAUUGACGGGGGCAC
Molecule: ribosomal RNA, 877 nt
Filed under: Pseudomonas sp. PDD-59b-9
Lineage: Bacteria; Pseudomonadati; Pseudomonadota; Gammaproteobacteria; Pseudomonadales; Pseudomonadaceae
Description: bacterial SSU rRNA
Rfam family: Bacterial small subunit ribosomal RNA
Source: RNAcentral